UGGGCUCUCCUGGAUACAAGACAUUGUCCA
Molecule: non-coding RNA, 30 nt
Filed under: Mus musculus (house mouse)
Lineage: Eukaryota; Metazoa; Chordata; Mammalia; Rodentia; Muridae
Source: RNAcentral